RNAcentral lists this long non-coding RNA (633 nucleotides) under Phoenix dactylifera (date palm). Its description in RNAcentral is "long non-coding RNA (PDAC_LNC020275)". Lineage: Eukaryota; Viridiplantae; Streptophyta; Magnoliopsida; Arecales; Arecaceae. The record is from RNAcentral.
UCGUGCCCUAGGCACGAUCGUGGAGGAAGCCUUGCAGGGGGGAGGCGGCGGCGUGAGGGGAGGCCGGUCAUCGGGGGAGGCGACUCGCCGGAGGAGACCAAACACCGGAGUGGAGACGGAGCGCCGAGAUCCGGCCGGCCGUGGGGGAAAACUCUAAAGCCUUUCCUUCGGAGAAGACCCUCCACAGAUCGGUGAUUUGUUCACGGAUUCUUCCAUCCAUCUCUUGCCGGAAAGGUCGCCGGAGCACGUCGUCGGACCGAGGUAAGUGGGGCUCCCUUCCUUAUGCUUCAUUUUCUGGACUUAGGGCGGUGAUGAUGGGGAUUUGGCCGGUGAGAUCGUCGGAGAAGGAUCCGAAACAGGGGUACCCUGUUUCGGCUUCUCUUUUCGGAUCUUGCCGCCGGCCGUCGGCCGCCGGGAUUGGCCGAGGUCCAUGGCAGUGGGGUGGUCGGGAUAGAGGAGAUUUGGAGUAGGGUUCUAGGGCUUUGAUUGGAGAUGGGGGAUGGCGGAUCCGAGGCCUUCCUCCUCGUGAUCCCGUCCCUUCCUCCUCUCCCUCCGCGUGGGUUGGCCACCGGCGGCGACGACAGCGGUCGGGGGGAAGGCAGCUUGGGUUGCCGUCGGGUGUGGGGGGAGAGA